UGGCCGGAACGCCGCAGCUUCUCCGAAGCCGGCCUCGGCCCCGUCCCCGCGAAAUGGAGGGGCGCCUGCGUCGCCGGGGCCGGCUUCCCAGCCACCUCCUGCAACCGGAAACUCGUCGGUGCCCGCUACUUCUCCGGCGGCUACGAGGCGACCAGCGGCCGCAUGAACGAGUCCGCCGAGCUCCGCUCCCCGCGUGACACCGACGGCCACGGCACCCACACCG
Molecule: unclassified non-coding RNA, 223 nt
Filed under: Hevea brasiliensis (rubber tree)
Lineage: Eukaryota; Viridiplantae; Streptophyta; Magnoliopsida; Malpighiales; Euphorbiaceae
Source: RNAcentral